GCCCUCUCAGUGUCACACCUGGAGAGUUUCCAGGACUCUACCAGUCUCGACUAUGGGAGGAAGAGUUGAGCAGAGGUCUGUCCAUUCCAUUCCAUUCCUAGCUUGGCCAGUGGCUAGCAAAUGGAAGGCAAUCUGCUACAAGU
Molecule: small nucleolar RNA, 143 nt
Organism: Tachyglossus aculeatus (Australian echidna)
Lineage: Eukaryota; Metazoa; Chordata; Mammalia; Monotremata; Tachyglossidae
Source: RefSeq, a predicted model, not a curated record